This 257-nucleotide long non-coding RNA is filed under the name Mytilus galloprovincialis (Mediterranean mussel). Lineage: Eukaryota; Metazoa; Mollusca; Bivalvia; Mytilida; Mytilidae. The record is from RNAcentral.
UCUUACUUUUAAAGUCUUCUUCCAUCAAUGUCAUAUCCUUGUCUAAAGCCUGUACCUUUGAGUUGAUAGAACUAGCUUGAUUUUUCAGGAAAUUUUCAAGACUUUUCAAUGCAUUUCUGGCUUUGUUAAAAUCUUGCUUGGAUUUGUUUGUUAAACAUGGUAACGAAAAUACAGUCCCGAACACCACAUAAACCAUAAAGACGGUAAUCGGUAAGACAGGUGUCAUUCUGUAAAAAGUUUUAAAAAUCUGCAUUUUA